Molecule: long non-coding RNA, 426 nt
Filed under: Homo sapiens (human)
Lineage: Eukaryota; Metazoa; Chordata; Mammalia; Primates; Hominidae
Description: non-protein coding KLF3-AS1:13
Source: RNAcentral
CGAAAAAACAGGACACUCACAGUUCAGGAAACUACCAAGGGUCCAAGGAGAGGCCUUGCUUGGCCGUGGUGUGGUCCUGCAACUCCAGGGCAGACCUAGACUCAUGGGAAAGUCCCUGCUUUGUGAUGAGGCUGAAAGAGGAUGAGUGGGGAGUGGCCGGAAGAAGAAAGGGUGUAACCAGAGACCAGUGUCAACAAGGAAUCUGGCUUGGAACGCUUUUGUCUGCAGCCCUCUUUGGAGCGUGACUUGCUCUUUCAGAGGUCUGUAUUUCUCUACCUGGACUACCCUGAGAGCUAACCCCAGUUAUUGGUCUGGAAGCAACGAAUGAAGGCCGGGGCAGAGCUUGAGGAGGGCAACAUCAUUUUGUCACAGUCGCCAUCAAGAAUCUAGUUGCAGACUGGGCGCUGUGGCUCACGCCUGUAAUCC